RNAcentral lists this ribosomal RNA (222 nucleotides) under uncultured bacterium. RNAcentral's name for it is "partial 16S ribosomal RNA". It matches the Rfam family "Bacterial small subunit ribosomal RNA", at positions 30 to 248 of the family's 1533-position model. The record is from RNAcentral.
AUUGAACGCUGGCGGCAUGCCUUACACAUGCAAGUCGAGCGGCAGCGCGGGGGCGAACCCUCGGCGGCGAGCGGCGGACGGGUGAGUAAUACAUCGGAACGUGUCCUUUCGUUGGGGGAGUAACCAGUCGAAAGACUGGCUAAUACCGCAUGAGAUCUCACGAUGAAAGCGGGGGCCGGCAAGGCCUCGCGCGAUUGGAGCGGCCGAUGUCGGAUUAGCUAG